ACUUUCGAAUCUUAAUAAGAUCGUUACUAGUUUUCUUGCACGUUUCGCAAGUCUAACUAAUCUUACUAAGAAUCUUAAUUAAUUAAAUUUAACUGUUAUAUAUUUCACAUUAAAGCUAUCAACUUUUGGCAAUACUUGAAGUAGCAGCAAAAGGCAUAAAAGCAGCAGAAAGUGAAGCUUCUGUUAUAGCUAAAAAGGUUCCUUCACCUCAUGGUACAGUGCGUCUUUGUCAAGGAAUAGGAAGACAUCUUUAGUUACCCUAGAUAAGGAACACGGUACGAAAUGGAAAAGCGCGAAAGAUUUUUGAAUGGUACAUUGAAGUUUACCGUUUCGCUGGUAUGGUAUCUAUUUUUGUUAUUUUCGAAGAAGUUUUUGAAAAGUGAAAAGGAACAUGUCCACGUUUAUAUUUGAGCAUAAACAAAAAAUUUU
Hydra vulgaris (swiftwater hydra) is the source of this 429-nucleotide long non-coding RNA. RefSeq lists it as uncharacterized. The record is from RefSeq and is a predicted model, not a curated record. NCBI's taxonomy places the organism in Eukaryota, Metazoa, Cnidaria, Hydrozoa, Anthoathecata, Hydridae.